Molecule: ribosomal RNA, 621 nt
Filed under: uncultured bacterium
Lineage: Bacteria
Description: bacterial SSU rRNA
Rfam family: Bacterial small subunit ribosomal RNA
Source: RNAcentral
AGCUAGAUGGUGGGGUAACGGCCUACCAUGGCCAUGAUGUCUAGGGGUUCUGAGAGGAAGACCCCCCACACUGGGACUGAGACACGGCCCAGACUCCUACGGGAGGCAGCAGUGAGGAAUAUUGGACAAUGGAUGGAAAUCUGAUCCAGCCAUGCCGCGUGCAGGAAGACGGCCCUAUGGGUUGUAAACUGCUUUUAUAUGGGAGCAAUAAGGUCUACGCGUAGACCGAUGAGAGUACCAUAUGAAUAAGCAUCGGCUAACUCCGUGCCAGCAGCCGCGGUAAUACGGAGGAUGCGAGCGUUAUCCGGAUUUAUUGGGUUUAAAGGGUGCGUAGGCGGCCUUAUAAGUCAGCGGUGAAAUUUUGCAGCUUAACUGUAACAGUGCCGUUGAUACUGUAGGGCUAGGAUUUGGUUGCUGUGGGUGGAAUGUGUGGUGUAGCGGUGAAAUGCUUAGAUAUCACACAGAAUAUCGAUUGCGAAGGCAGCUCACAAAGCCAAGAUUGACGCUGAGGCACGAAAGUGUGGGGAUCAAACAGGAUUAGAUACCCUGGUAGUCCACACUGUAAACGAUGAUAACUCGCUGCCGGCGAUACACAGUCGGUGGCCAAGCGAAAGCGAUAAG